UAGUGGUAGCAGAAGUAACGGGCGCGAAGAAGCCCUGGUUUGGCCACUGGCCAGCCAAUGGAAGCGUUCACGGCAGCGCAGCGCAGCGCACCUACCGCGACGGCGACGGGCGUCGCGUCAGGGGAGCAGCGGCCGGAUGGCGCGGAUGGUUGAGGCGGUAGUGGAACCGAGCGGGCGAAGAAAAAAAAAGGUCGGCGGUUUCGCCGUGCAUCGCGGCAUCCCAGAUCGGACGGGAGGCGGCGGCGUGAUUGCCAGCCGGAGCGCUGGCUCGGUCGGUCCCAGAGGAAGGAGAAGGUUGGGUCCGUGAGUCCGUCUCCGUCCGUCCGCCACGGCUGCUCGUCAACGCACACACCCACGCGUCCCUUUCGCUGAAGUGCGACGCCGGCUGCCAACUGCCCCCAUUAUACCGUGUGUGUACUUGUCGAGUUGUCGUCACCUUGGACGACAAGUCGAGAAGUGGGAACCAGAAGCUUCCAUAUCACCAUAUGUGACCACUUUGCCUCCUCGGCACACUAGGAUCCAAACAGACCUUGAUAACACCAGUGAUGAAUUCUCGAAUACUAGGCCCAUGUCAAGUCGUCAACUGUAGUCUGUGCAGUUUGAGCUAGCUCACCGCAUCAAUAAUACUGCAGCACCAGCAGCGCUUCUGCGCUUGGUUCAGCUCUACAA
This 669-nucleotide long non-coding RNA is filed under the name Zea mays. Its description in RNAcentral is "drought-responsive long non-coding RNA". The record is from RNAcentral. Lineage: Eukaryota; Viridiplantae; Streptophyta; Magnoliopsida; Poales; Poaceae.